This is a transfer RNA of Schizopora paradoxa, 93 nucleotides long. It matches the Rfam family "tRNA". From Rfam's summary of the family: Transfer RNA (tRNA) molecules are approximately 80 nucleotides in length. Their secondary structure includes four short double-helical elements and three loops (D, anti-codon, and T loops). Further hydrogen bonds mediate the characteristic L-shaped molecular structure. tRNAs have two regions of fundamental functional importance: the anti-codon, which is responsible for specific mRNA codon recognition, and the 3' end, to which the tRNAs corresponding amino acid is attached (by aminoacyl-tRNA synthetases). tRNAs cope with the degeneracy of the genetic code in two manners: having more than one tRNA (with a specific anti-codon) for a particular amino acid; and 'wobble' base-pairing, i.e. permitting non-standard base-pairing at the 3rd anti-codon position. NCBI's taxonomy places the organism in Eukaryota, Fungi, Basidiomycota, Agaricomycetes, Hymenochaetales, Schizoporaceae. The record is from Rfam.
GAUUGCGUAGCCAAGUGGUUACGGCGCUGGUUUUAGGUCUUGUGACGCAUUCACCAGUGGGAAACCUCGCGAGUUCGAAUCUCGUCGCAAUCA